Molecule: signal recognition particle RNA, 272 nt
Filed under: Metalysinibacillus saudimassiliensis
Lineage: Bacteria; Bacillati; Bacillota; Bacilli; Caryophanales; Caryophanaceae
Description: Archaea_SRP
Rfam family: Bacterial large signal recognition particle RNA
About the family: The signal recognition particle (SRP) is a universally conserved ribonucleoprotein involved in the co-translational targeting of proteins to membranes. Archaeal SRP consists of a 7S RNA and homologues of the eukaryotic SRP19 and SRP54 proteins.
Source: RNAcentral
UGCCGUGCUAGAUGGGGAGGUAGCGGUGCCCUGUAACUCGCAAUCCGCUCUAGCGAGAUUGAAUUCCUCUCUAGAGGCUGAUCGUAUUGUUUGGUCUGACUUUUGCACGUAGUGUUGAAGUUUGGGUCCUGCGCAAUGAAUACCCAUGAACCAUGUCAGGUCCGGAAGGAAGCAGCAUUAAGUGGUCUCAUUCAUGUGCCGCGGGGUAGCCUGAGCGGAGCUAACGACAAGAGUAACGCUUAUGUGCGUCAGUCGAAGAGAGGUGCACGGCA